AAUUUUAUAGUUAAAAAUUAAUAAUAUUAGAAUGCAAAUCUAAAAUUAUAAUUUUAAAUUAUUAAGAUUU
This 70-nucleotide transfer RNA is filed under the name Colochela zhongi. RNAcentral describes it as "tRNA-Cys". Lineage: Eukaryota; Metazoa; Arthropoda; Insecta; Hymenoptera; Tenthredinidae. The record is from RNAcentral.